CUAAUAUUAUCAGUGCUCCAAUUGAGCUUGGAGGUGAAAUUAAUUAAAUGUACUCUGCCCAAACUGCUGGGACAGGGGAGUGUAAUUUGCGCUUUGCACAUCAGCACAUGUUCCAAAAAAAAAAACUACAGGAACAAUUCGCUUCAGUAUUUGUGAAAAGCUCCCAUACUAUUGUGUAACUUCUGCAAUCAAAACUUGAUGCUGUCAAUGGUUCUUGACUAUGAAAAUUGAAAUUACAUUUUAAUUUAGUACUUCCUAAGCCACACAGCGUGAUUUUGGACACACUAAACUUGACUGCACUUUCUGCAAUGGUGUAAACUGUGCGUCAGUGUGUUAACCUCCGACGGUUCUAAAUGUACCCGUUUGGCAAUGUGUGGUUACACAACAAAGUGAGAACCUGGGUUUAACUGUAAACCGGAACCCUUCACAGAAACAGGCAACAUUUCAAAGCCAAUGGUGUUUUGAUGCACAAAUAUAACAUUCAGAGAUUUGGCAGUUGCUGGUCAACUGCUGCAAUAUUGAAAGACAAAGAUACAUUCACUGUAUAUCUAGACAUGGUUCUCAUUCAGAUUACACACUCUCUUACGGCAUGUGACUGUUAGGAUUUGAAUUCCGCCUUACAUGCACCAUUGGUGUUUUUCCUUUUGCAUAUUUAUUACCUGGUAUAAAUAUUUGUAUUUACCAAGAACAUGCUGCUAUGGUAAAAAUAUAUUGUAUUGAAGCAUUUACAGCCCAGUGUACUAAAUGUUGCUAGAGUUCUAAGAAGGUCUGCUCACGGAAACACCAGCAGUCCCUUUCACUUAUAGCUCAGUUAUAGCACCGUUUAGAGCACUGAGCCCUAUGACCUGUCUGUGCCUGCAAUGCAUUCUCAUACACUGACAGACAUAUGCAAGGAUGUCGCCCACAUUUUACAAAGUCAAAUUAUAUAUAGCUAAUAUAUUUACAUGUGGCUUCUGUUUCUAGAAUGAGC
Molecule: non-coding RNA, 970 nt
Organism: Pelobates cultripes (western spadefoot toad)
Lineage: Eukaryota; Metazoa; Chordata; Amphibia; Anura; Pelobatidae
Source: the annotation of a GenBank genome assembly